GUCUUAUUGAAAUUAAUAAUAAGUCUUCCCUGCUCACUGAAAAUUAAAGAGCCGCAGUAUUUUGACUGUGCUAAGGUAGCAUAAUAAAUAGUCUUUUAAUUGAGGACUAGAAUGAAUGGGUUAAUAAAGAAAAGACUGUCUACAAUAAUUUAUUUAUAAUUUAAUAUUUAAGUCAAAAAGCUUAAAUAAAAUUAUGGGACGAGAAGACCCUAUAGAUUUUUACUUAAAAUUAUAAAAAUUUAAUUAUAAUAAAAAUUUAUGUAAUCUAAGUUUAACUGGGGCGGUUUAAAAACAAAAUUAACUUUUUAAGAUAAAAUUAUAUAUUAAUAAAUUUUAGAUCCAUUAAUUAAUGAUAAAAAGAUUAAAUUACCUUAGGGAUAACAGCAUAAUUUUAUUGGAAAGUUCAUAUAGAAAAUAAAGUUUGUGACCUCGAUGUUGAAUUAAAAAAAUUUUUAUAAGCAGAAAUAUAAACAAUUAGUCUGUUCGACUAUUAAAAUU
RNAcentral lists this ribosomal RNA (498 nucleotides) under Cerobasis guestfalica. RNAcentral describes it as "partial 16S ribosomal RNA". The record is from RNAcentral. Lineage: Eukaryota; Metazoa; Arthropoda; Insecta; Psocodea; Trogiidae.